GACGAACCGUGCGAACGUUGUUCGGAAUCACUGGGCUUAAAGGGCGCGUAGGCGGUUCAUCAAGUCUGGGGUGAAAUCUUUCGGCUUAACCGGAAAAGUGCCUGAGAUACUGAUGAGCUGGAGGGAGGUAGGGGCAGCUGGAACUUCCAGUGGAGCGGUGAAAUGCGUUGAUAUUGGAAGGAACUCCGGUGGCGAAAGCGAGCUGCUGGCCCUCUUCUGACGCUGAGGCGCGAAAGCCAGGGGAGCAAACGGG
Molecule: ribosomal RNA, 253 nt
Filed under: uncultured bacterium
Lineage: Bacteria
Description: partial 16S ribosomal RNA
Rfam family: Bacterial small subunit ribosomal RNA
Source: RNAcentral